UAACACGGAGGGUGCAAGCGUUGUUCGGAAUUACUGGGCGUAAAGGGCGUGUAGGCGGCUUGGUAAGUCUGAAGUGAAAUCCGUCGGCUCAACCGACGAACUGCUUCAGAUACUGCCUCGCUUGAGUACGGGAGAGGAAAGCGGAAUUCCCAGUGUAGAGGUGAAAUUCGUAGAUAUUGGGAAGAACACCGGUGGCGAAGGCGGCUUUCUGGACCGAUACUGACGCUGAGACGCGAAAGCGUGGGGAGCAAACAGGAUUAGAUACCCUGGUAGUCCACGCCGUAAACGGUGAGUACUAGGUGUAGGGGGUACCAACCCCCUCUGUGCCGCAGCUAACGCAUUAAGUACUCCGCCUGGGGACUACGGCCGCAAGGCUA
RNAcentral lists this ribosomal RNA (377 nucleotides) under uncultured delta proteobacterium. RNAcentral describes it as "bacterial SSU rRNA". It matches the Rfam family "Bacterial small subunit ribosomal RNA", at positions 521 to 896 of the family's 1533-position model. Lineage: Bacteria; Deltaproteobacteria. The record is from RNAcentral.